RNAcentral lists this ribosomal RNA (770 nucleotides) under Salmonella enterica subsp. enterica serovar Stanley. Its description in RNAcentral is "partial 23S ribosomal RNA". It matches the Rfam family "Bacterial large subunit ribosomal RNA", at positions 419 to 1190 of the family's 2925-position model. The record is from RNAcentral. Lineage: Bacteria; Pseudomonadati; Pseudomonadota; Gammaproteobacteria; Enterobacterales; Enterobacteriaceae.
GGGACACGUGGUAUCCUGUCUGAAUAUGGGGGGACCAUCCUCCAAGGCUAAAUACUCCUGACUGACCGAUAGUGAACCAGUACCGUGAGGGAAAGGCGAAAAGAACCCCGGCGAGGGGAGUGAAAAAGAACCUGAAACCGUGUACGUACAAGCAGUGGGAGCACCCUUCGGGGUGUGACUGCGUACCUUUUGUAUAAUGGGUCAGCGACUUAUAUUCUGUAGCAAGGUUAACCGAAUAGGGGAGCCGGAGGGAAACCGAGUCUUAAUUGGGCGUUAAGUUGCAGGGUAUAGACCCGAAACCCGGUGAUCUAGCCAUGGGCAGGUUGAAGGUUGGGUAACACUAACUGGAGGACCGAACCGACUAAUGUUGAAAAAUUAGCGGAUGACCUGUGGCUGGGGGUGAAAGGCCAAUCAAACCGGGAGAUAGCUGGUUCUCCCCGAAAGCUAUUUAGGUAGCGCCUCGUGAAUUCAUCUCCGGGGGUAGAGCACUGUUUCGGCUAGGGGGCCAUCCCGGCUUACCAACCCGAUGCAAACUGCGAAUACCGGAGAAUGUUAUCACGGGAGACACACGGCGGGUGCUAACGUCCGUCGUGAAGAGGGAAACAACCCAGACCGCCAGCUAAGGUCCCAAAGUCAUGGUUAAGUGGGAAACGAUGUGGGAAGGCCCAGACAGCCAGGAUGUUGGCUUAGAAGCAGCCAUCAUUUAAAGAAAGCGUAAUAGCUCACUGGUCGAGUCGGCCUGCGCGGAAGAUGUAACGGGGCUAAACCAU